UGGGGAAUUUUGGACAAUGGGCGAAAGCCUGAUCCAGCCAUUCCGCGUGCAGGAUGAAGGCCCUCGGGUUGUAAACUGCUUUUGUACAGAACGAAAAAGCUCUGGUUAAUACCUGGAGUCCAUGACGGUACUGUAAGAAUAAGCACCGGCUAACUACGUGCCAGCAGCCGCGGUAAUACGUAGGGUGCAAGCGUUAAUCGGAAUUACUGGGCGUAAAGCGUGCGCAGGCGGUGAUGUAAGACAGUUGUGAAAUCCCCGGGCUCAACCUGGGAACUGAAUCUGUGACUGCAUCGCUGGAGUGCGGCAGAGGGGGAUGGAAUUCCGAGUGUAGCAGUGAAAUGCGUAGAUAUGCGGAGGAACACCGAUGGCGAAGGCAAUCCCCUGGGCCUGAACUGACGCUCAUGCACGAAAGCGUGGGGAGCAAACAGG
RNAcentral lists this ribosomal RNA (429 nucleotides) under Bacillota bacterium. RNAcentral describes it as "Firmicutes bacterium partial 16S ribosomal RNA". It matches the Rfam family "Bacterial small subunit ribosomal RNA", at positions 355 to 776 of the family's 1533-position model. Lineage: Bacteria; Bacillati; Bacillota. The record is from RNAcentral.